AUACCCUAUUAUUUUUAGUGUAAAAUAGGAGCYUGAGUAUUAUUAGCUAUGAUCUUGAAACUUAAAGAAUUUGGCGGUAUUAUAGUCUAUUUAGAGGAAUCUGUUAUGUAAUCGAUAGUCCCCGUUGAACCUUACUUGGACUUAAUUUUUUUUUGUAUACCGCUGUUUUGUGAAUCUAUUUUUAGAUUAUUUUCUAGAUAUGAAUUAAAUAGUAUUUCAAGUCAAGGUGCAGUAAUGUGCAAGAGUAUUAAUGGAUUACAAUAAAUUUUAUUUAUAUGGAUUAUAAUUGAAAUUAUGAGUAUGAAGGUGGAUUUAAUUGUAAUUUAAUAAAGAUUGUUUGUAUGAUUUUUUUUAGCUCUAUAAUGUGUACACAUCGCCC
RNAcentral lists this ribosomal RNA (379 nucleotides) under Tarachina sp. MN140. Its description in RNAcentral is "partial 12S ribosomal RNA". Lineage: Eukaryota; Metazoa; Arthropoda; Insecta; Mantodea; Chroicopteridae. The record is from RNAcentral.